AUGCCAAAACUCACCAAGAACUCUCAAAAAUCUCUGCACUUUUUACUCCCCUUUUUCUCUUUUAAAGUGAAGAAUUUUUGCUUCCAAGGCUGAAUUGUAAUCGGAGAACGCACAAGCUCAUCAUCAAUCAUCAAUCAUCAAGGUAAUCAUGCUUAGAAAUCAAGACAUGCUCAUAUAGGAAUGCCUAGCUAUUAAAAUAAACAAGAUUUAGUAAUUUUUCUUUCAUAAACGAGUUG
Molecule: long non-coding RNA, 236 nt
Filed under: Helianthus annuus (common sunflower)
Lineage: Eukaryota; Viridiplantae; Streptophyta; Magnoliopsida; Asterales; Asteraceae
Description: sRNA HanXRQr2_Chr06g0255361
Source: RNAcentral